AUUGAACGCUGGCGGCAGGCCUAACACAUGCAAGUCGAGCGGUAGCACAGAGAGCUUGCUCUCGGGUGACGAGCGGCGGACGGGUGAGUAAUGUCUGGGAAACUGCCUGAUGGAGGGGGAUAACUACUGGAAACGGUAGCUAAUACCGCAUAACGUCGCAAGACCAAAGAGGGGGACCUUCGGGCAUCUUGCCAUCAGAUGUGCCCAGAUGGGAUUAGCUAGUAGGUGGGGUAACGGCUCACCUAGGCGACGAUCCCUAGCUGGUCUGAGAGGAUGACCAGCCACACUGGAACUGGGACACGGUCCAGACUCCUACGGGAGGCAGCGGUGGGGAAUAUUGCACAAUGGGCGCAAGCCUGAUGCAGCCAUGCCGCGUGUAUGAAGAAGGCCUUCGGGUUGUAAAGUACUUUCAGCGGGGAGGAAGGCGAUAAGGUUAAUAACCUUGUCGAUUGACGUUACCCGCAGAAGAAGCACCGGCUAACUCCGUGCCAGCAGCCGCGGUAA
This 504-nucleotide ribosomal RNA is filed under the name uncultured bacterium. Its description in RNAcentral is "partial 16S ribosomal RNA". It matches the Rfam family "Bacterial small subunit ribosomal RNA", at positions 30 to 523 of the family's 1533-position model. The record is from RNAcentral.